ACUGAGGACUGGGCAGCUGGAGGCAAGUACAAGUCAUCUGACGUCAGAACUUCUCUUUUCAAGUCCAUCCCUCAGAGACUUUGCCCGGGUCCACUGAGCCUAUUUUGAAAGUGGAGGAAAAAGGCCUUUUAUCACCUUAUUUUACAACUGGGCAAUUUGCGGCUUUGAGCGUAACUGAGGUCAGGUCUACCAAUGGUAAGUGCUGAGACGAGCCCAGAUGCACCUGCCUCCAAGCCCCUGAAGAUGGCACGUGGGCUGGAAGACUCAGUUACCCUAAGGCACAUGGAAUGAUUGCAUUUCCUUUAUACCCAUGAAGUGGAAAUAUGUCUGUGUUACUUGUUUUGGACAAUGAAACAUAAGCAAAGUGGUUUGAGAGCUGGUUCCUGACUCUUUAAUACACUUUCUUCUGCUACAGUAAUUAGGGAAACCAGUGUUGAUAAGGUGGUGCCACAAGAUUGAAGAAGCUUGAAUUAGUAGUAGUACUUGUAGGAGAGCUGGGCUGGAAGUUUGCCCAUAUCCACAGUGAGAUGUCUAUGAGUGAACAAAAAGUAAGCUUGUAUGGUGAGAUUUGGAGCUUGUUUGUUACUCAGCAAAACAUAUCCUAUCCUGAUUACCAUGGUAGAAAGAGGACUGACUUGUGGGAAGCCUCUGUAAAAUAAAAGCAAAGGAUAAAG
Bos taurus (domestic cattle) is the source of this 674-nucleotide long non-coding RNA. NCBI's taxonomy places the organism in Eukaryota, Metazoa, Chordata, Mammalia, Artiodactyla, Bovidae. The record is from Ensembl.